GGCCUUCUGGGUUGUAAACUGCUUUUGUCAGGGGAUAAAAAGCUCGUGCGCGAGAAAUUGAAUGUACCUGGCGAAUAAGCCACGGCUAACUACGUGCCAGCAGCCGCGGUAAUACGUAGGUGGCAAGCGUUGUCCGGAUUUAUUGGGUUUAAAGGGUGCGUAGGCGGUCCUGUAAGUCAGUGGUGAAAUACGGCAGCUCAACUGUCGAGGUGCCAUUGAUACUGCGGGACUUGAGUGUUGAUGAGGUAGGCGGAAUUGACGGUGUAGCGGUGAAAUGCUUAGAUAUCGUCAAGAACACCGAUAGCGAAGGCAGCUUACCAAGCAACAACUGACGCUGAAGCACGAAAGUGUGGGGAUCAAACAGGAUUAGAUACCCUGGUAGUCC
RNAcentral lists this ribosomal RNA (385 nucleotides) under uncultured bacterium. RNAcentral describes it as "bacterial SSU rRNA". It matches the Rfam family "Bacterial small subunit ribosomal RNA", at positions 413 to 796 of the family's 1533-position model. The record is from RNAcentral.